RNAcentral lists this ribosomal RNA (253 nucleotides) under uncultured prokaryote. RNAcentral describes it as "partial 16S ribosomal RNA". It matches the Rfam family "Bacterial small subunit ribosomal RNA", at positions 524 to 776 of the family's 1533-position model. The record is from RNAcentral.
UACGUAGGUGGCAAGCGUUGUCUGGAUUUACUGGGCGUAAAGGGAGCGUAGGUGGAUAUUUAAGUGGGAUGUGAAAUACUCGGGCUUAACCUGAGUGCUGCAUUCCAAACUGGAUAUCUAGAGUGCAGGAGAGGAAAGUAGAAUUCCUAGUGUAGCGGUGAAAUGCGUAGAGAUUAGGAAGAAUACCAGUGGCGAAGACGACUUUCUGGACUGUAACUGACACUGAGGCUCGAAAGCGUGGGGAGCAAACAGG